AACGAACGCUGGCGGCGUGUUUAAGACAUGCAAGUCGCACGGGACACCAUGAGUAGCAAUACAAGUGUUGUUGAGUGGCGCACGGGUGAGUAACACGUGAAUCACAUGCCCUUCAGAGGGGGAUAGCCCAGGGAAACUUGGAUUAAUACCCCAUGGUCUCGCAAGAGUAAAGGCGGCCGCAAGGCUGUCGCUGGAGGAUUGGUUCGCGCCCUAUCAGCUUGUUGGCGGGGUAACGGCCCACCAAGGCGACGACGGGUACCUGGUCUGAGAGGACGAUCAGGCACACUGGAACUGAGACACGGUCCAGACACCUACGGGAGG
RNAcentral lists this ribosomal RNA (321 nucleotides) under uncultured Verrucomicrobiota bacterium. RNAcentral's name for it is "bacterial SSU rRNA". It matches the Rfam family "Bacterial small subunit ribosomal RNA", at positions 29 to 348 of the family's 1533-position model. Lineage: Bacteria; Pseudomonadati; Verrucomicrobiota. The record is from RNAcentral.